RNAcentral lists this long non-coding RNA (1463 nucleotides) under Homo sapiens (human). Its description in RNAcentral is "HSALNT0088391". Lineage: Eukaryota; Metazoa; Chordata; Mammalia; Primates; Hominidae. The record is from RNAcentral.
AUGGUUAAGGGAGAUCACUUGGCCAUAAAUCCCCGGUGAGGAAUGAUGAUGGUCCUCCCUCCCUACCCCCAAAAUUAAAGGCGCGAGAGCAGGACUCCCUGAAGGGAAACGGCCACCAUUUCUGCGAGGUCUGCGCAAACCUUACCAUGUAUGUGCCACCGUGAAACGCCGCUGUUUGGGGAUGUUGCUGCUGAGAAGCAUUCUGCGCAGAAGCCUGGGGGAAUUUCUCGGAGAGAUCACUGGAGAGAGCUUGGGAGAAACCGAUUUCCUCGCUGUCUUGGACUUCUCAUGCUGCAACAGGUUUUCUCGCAAGGAUUUCACAAGGUCUUCGUUCAGCCACGGGUUUGGACAAUGCGGAUUAUCCACUUCAGGUACUGUUAAAGUGUCCGGGCUUGUCUGCUGAGCCAUUUUCCUGGUCAACUUUGUACAGCUGGCAAGAAUCCAGGGCAACGUGGUUCCCUCGCUCACGGUCCCGGAAAUGUCCAGGGAAGCAGGUCUGAGCCUGCUGCUGUUAGUGCAUUCAGUCGCCUGCCUCAGUCUCUCUGUAGAGCCUGGGGCUGGGUGCAGAGGAGGCGAGCGCACUCCUCCGCGGAAGCGUAUUAAACGUCACCCCUCCUCUCCCAAGCCCCUGCCAAAGAUCACUGACAAGCUCGCAUAGCAAAUGAACAAGGAGGGAAAGCACCGCGCUCGCACGGCUUUGUCCGUGCUACAAAGCAGCCUGUUAAACUAUUGGAACUAAUGCGCCGCAGCUGCGCGAGUGACUUCUGCUGCUUAUGUACAUAAAAAGUCCUGGGGGGAGGGCUUAACCAUCAGAUGCCUGCUGCUGGGUUGUUUGGCUAGUCUUUCCAUUUGCUUAUUCCUGAAUCCAAAGGAAAGAAAAACUUUGAACUUGACCUUCCUCUCCCGCAGGGCUAUUUAUCUCCCUACAGUCCACGUUCAUAAAAGAAAAAUGCCAAUCCUUUGUUUUUUUCUCUCUUUUUUUUUUAAUAAGGGAAGAAUAAACAAGCACUAGCUACACAAGGAGAAAUACUUCCCUGCUUACUAAACUCAAUCUGAUGAACCACAUAAGACAAAUCCCAUGAGAAUGAAAUUGACUUUUUCUCCCUCUGUCUCUAGUUAGAACCCAAACAAACAAAAGGUUUCAAAAUACUACACAUGGAACGCUUUACAGGUUGCAGUUGUGUUCUACAACCUUAUUAAUUAGGGCCCUUUCAAAGAACUAACAACACUAUUUAGACUCACAAAUGAUAUGUUUUCUCUUUGCAUUUAAACUAAUGCCCCUCCAGAAGGACAGAUAGUUUUCAUAAGAGUAGUUUCAAUUACUAUUUGUGAUAUAUACAAUUUUAUGUAUUCAACUAUAAGAGGGUGGAAUACAUCUAGCUUUUCGUGAUUUCCUUUAUUGCCUUUUAAUGUAAGAUUUUUAUGUGUGAUGAAUAGAGCUUCAACAAACUUAUUCAGAGAGC